This 606-nucleotide ribosomal RNA is filed under the name Triticum aestivum (bread wheat). RNAcentral's name for it is "partial small subunit ribosomal RNA". The record is from RNAcentral. Lineage: Eukaryota; Viridiplantae; Streptophyta; Magnoliopsida; Poales; Poaceae.
AUGGAGAGAGAAUCCCGUGCAUCGGCAUUGAAUGUGCAGAUGGGUUUGGUUGAAGGGAUUAUUGACAUCUCUGACAGUGAACGCAACGAUGAAGUUAAUUUUGAAGAGUGGUCUGAUCCUGAGCAUGCUAAACUGGUUGAGACAGAUAGAAGGUUGAGAGAGCAAGAGGAGAAAGAUGCAGAGGUCGUGAAGAUGUAUCAGGAAAUGUAUGGCAAAAAAGAUGGGCACCAAGAAGUCUCAGGCACGGAUAAUGAUUCACUUGUUGAGAAGCACCGUAAGUUAAGGGAGCAAGAGGAAAAAGACACCAAGGUUGCAAUGAUGUAUCAAACACUGUAUGAUCAAAAUGCUACUGAAGCUCAGAUCACCAAUGUGCCAGCAAACAGAAUUCUUGCUCAGGCGGCAAAACCUGCAGGUCGGGAAAGAAGCCCCAUGGAGGGUGGGCGUAGAGGACGGGGGUGCGUUGGUGGUGCCUCCAGGGCAGGGAACAUGAAUUCCAUGAAGUGGUCUUGGAGGCGGAAAGGGAAGAAGUCGGAAACGGGAUCCAAGGGGCAGAGGAGAGUGAGGUUCUCGAACACUGUGGAGACGAUAUGCCCAUCGAAAUCCUGA